ACGUAGGAGACGAGCGUUAUCCGGAUUUACUGGGCGUAAAGAGCGUGUAGGAGGCAAUUCAAGUUAGAUGUAAAAGCUCUCGGCUAAACUGAGAGAGGGCAUUUAAGACUGUAGAGCUAGAGGAUGGCAGAGGUAGAUGGAAUUCCGGGUGUAGUGGUGAAAUGCGUAGAUAUUCGGAAGAACACCGGAGGCGAAGGCGACCUACUGGGCGAUAACUGACGCUCAGGCGCGAAAGCGUGGGUAGCAAACAG
This 251-nucleotide ribosomal RNA is filed under the name uncultured prokaryote. RNAcentral's name for it is "partial 16S rRNA". It matches the Rfam family "Bacterial small subunit ribosomal RNA", at positions 525 to 775 of the family's 1533-position model. The record is from RNAcentral.